UACGGCUCAGUAACACGUAGUUAAUCUAACCUAUGGAUGGGCAUAACCUCGGGAAACUGAGAAUAAUACCCAAUAGACCACAGUGCCUGGAAUGGCCUGUGGUUCAAAUGAUUUAUCGCCGUAGGAUGGGACUGCGGCCUAUCAGCUAGUUGGUGAGGUAAUGGCCCACCAAGGCUAUAACAGGUACGGGCUCUGAGAGGAGGGGCCCGGAGAUGGGUACUGAGACACGGACCCAGGCCCUAUGGGGCGCAGCAGGCGAGAAACCUUUGCAAUGUGCGAAAGCACGACAAGGUUAAUCCGAGUGUCUCCCGCUAAGGGAGUCUUUUGUCAGUUCUAGAACCACUGGUGAAUAAGGGGUGGGCAAGUUCUGGUGUCAGCCGCCGCGGUAAAACCAGCACCUCGAGUGGUCAGGAGGUUUAUUGGGCCUAAAGCAUCCGUAGCCGGUUGCAUAAGUUUUCGGUUAAAUCUAUGCGCUUAACGUAUAGGCCGCCGAAAAUACUGUGCAGCUAGGGAGUGGGAGAGGUACACGGUACUCGAUAGGAAGGGGUAAAAUCCUUUGAUCUAUUGAUGACCACCUGUGGCGAAGGCGGUGUACCAGAACACGUUYGACGGUGAGGGAUGAAAGCUGGGGGAGCAAACCGGAUUAGAUACCCGGGUAGUCCCAGCUGUAAACGAUGCAGACUCGGUGAUGCAUUGGCUUGUGGCCAAUGCAGUGCCGCAGGGAAGCCGUUAAGUCUGCCGCCUGGGAAGUACGUACGCAAGUAUGAAACUUAAAGGAAUUGGCGGGGGAGCACCACAAGGGGUGAAGCCUGCGGUUCAAUUGGAGUCAACGCCAGAAAUCUUACCUGGGGCGACAGCAGAAUGAAGGUCAAGCUGAAGACUUUACCAGACAAGCUGAGAGGUGGUGCAUGGCCAAU
Molecule: ribosomal RNA, 917 nt
Filed under: uncultured archaeon
Lineage: Archaea
Description: bacterial SSU rRNA
Rfam family: Archaeal small subunit ribosomal RNA
Source: RNAcentral